Ruditapes philippinarum (Manila clam) is the source of this 948-nucleotide long non-coding RNA. RefSeq lists it as uncharacterized. The transcript has 3 exons. Lineage: Eukaryota; Metazoa; Mollusca; Bivalvia; Venerida; Veneridae. The record is from RefSeq and is a predicted model, not a curated record.
CGAUUGAUAGCUAUACAUUUUAUUUUAUUUCCAAGGUAACGUCUUAGGCAGAAUGACUUGUAAAUUAAAAUUAUCAAUAUUGUUAGUUUAUCGGAAACAAUUAAGUUGUUGAGACAUUGGAAUAAUAUCACUGGCUGCAUUAAUUUUAUCAAGUAUGCAAGUACAGGUUGGAAUUAUAUGUUUGUUAGUGGUUUGCGCAGCGUCCAUUCCUGUGCCUAUCCAAUUCAAUGAUGGACAGUUGCCAUAUGGCCUUGGGUCCCCACUCAAUUUUAAAGGAAUUGGUUUUAGAAAUCCAUACGGUGCUAUGCCGUUUCUUUUGAACUAUGUAGACAGAGAUGCGUUUGAAGAUAAUCCGGAUGUUGAUACUGACCGGGUAGACAUGUAGAAAUAACAGGAAUGAACUUUUGUAAUGGCGUUCUGUGCUUAAUGUUACUAUUGUAAACAUUUUUAUUCUUCUUUUAACGAACCCUUAUGGAGAAAUAUAUAUAUGUUAAGUAAAAUAACAGCAGCAUUUCUACAUUGCAAUCCACUUGUAUUGAAUACUUCAAACGAUGUUUUCAAAUAAGUCAACUGUAGAUUGGCAGCUUAAAUAAAAUUUUAGAAAAAAGGGUAUACAAUGUAUAUAGGGAUAAAUCUUGUUAUAUGUCAUGUCUAAAUGAUUUGCAUAUUAUAUAUUUAAUAUUUUGUUUAACAAUGCUAGUAAAAUUUGUAUUUGAUGCUUGUGGACAUUUGCUAGUACAUUUUUGAGUAGUUUUACGAUGAUGACCAACGAUGUUUUGCAUUCGUGCACUUAUUGAUUAAACUUAGCUUCUAUUUCUUUCUUUUUUUCAUAUUUCGUAUUUUAUGUAUCAAUGUUUAUGAAAUUAUCAUUGUAGUAACAUUUAUUUCUUAAAAAUGAUCAAUAAAUGGAGACAUAAAGUCUGAUAAAAGAAUGGUGUUUUCGCAUGU